GCUCUUCCUGUUUACCGGCAUUCAACAGAGGUCUGUGGUUAAAACACAGCCGUUUGGGCAUUUUAACACCGCUUGUGUCAUUUUGUGGGGCUUUGCGUACACUGGAGAGUCUAUUGUAAACAACCGUUACGUGCGGUCUGGCUCGUUACACUGCCUAGUCCCAGCAUUCCCGUGUGUUUACCGUUUGAGUGGGGACAUCCAAUAUAUGCUGUUUGGCAUCUACUUCAUUUCUAUCCCGUGGAUACUGACGUCAGCUCUGCUUUCUGGUGUGGCAAACGGCUGCGUUAUUUGGUAUGUGUGUUUAUAUUUCCGAUUGCUGUUCAUAAACUAUAACUAGUUUACUAAUCGUCUUCUUAUCUGUUAGGGGCUAAGACUGUGCGUGCUGCAUUUCCCUACUACAUAUAGAAGCACGCUGCUGUUUUGUUCCUGCUGGAUUUGCUUUCGUUUCUUUUCUGUAUAUUUUUGUUGUGUGUUUUCAUCAUUUUGUCCUGGGUGAUUUAGCGCGGCCCGAUUUUGGAGUUGUUGGUUAAAACCUGCUCCUACUGUGACUGUAUUUUAAAGAUCUUUUCCUCGUACGUUGGGAAAUAACGAGUUCAAGGGCCGCGCUCAUUCAGAUAUUAUUUCUUCAUUUUCCCUUUGUGGUGUUUCUCAUUUUGGACUGGUUCAGAAUGCUGAGAUUUUCUCUUGGACAUUGUUGUCUUUAAAUUUAUUUUCCUUUUCCUUUUGUGGUAUUAUCUAGCUGUUUAAGCUAGAAUUUAUUUCUUUUCUUUAUGUUGGAAGGGUUUCUUUUGCUCCCCUGCAUUUAAUAAGUUUUUAUUGAUUAAUUUCUAUUGAUUUGAUUUAUUCUGUUUUGUAUUACAAUUACAGGAGCUGUGUGUCCGACGGCAGUGAGGCUUUCCUUCACCGUGUGCUGUGUUAUGCUGUGUGAGCACCACUGAUAAAAUCACGGGUAUUGGAGUGAGUGUGUGUGUGUGCACUUAGUGUGAUUCUCCUCUUUUGCUCCCUCUCUUAGCCCAUUUGAUGCCAAUAGGCUACAGCUCCGAAGUAAAUGUGAAUCCUUAUUGUGGAUUGUGAUUUCCAGCUUAGUAAUUGGCUGGGUGACUAUUAUUCCUGCAUUUUAAACUUUUGUACUAAUAAACAAACUCUAUUUUGCUACCCACGUCUCUUGCUCAUUUUAUUCAGUGGAAUGAACCUGGGUUCCUUAUAACAUUUUAAGUGAACUGUGAUUCCCUGGUAUAGUCCCAGGGUGGCGUAGUCUAUUGUAUAUCUCUUGAGUGUUGAAUAUUGCUGCAAAAAGACCACUUUGCCACAUUUUGGCGUAGUCGGCAGGGUCCACUAAAUUGAACAGAGACGUGGGUGAAGAUUUCUUUGCCAGCUGGUAUUGCCAUUAUUUGCUUUUCUUUUUAUUUCACAGGAACAAGACAGCAGCGUAGACUCUUUGAAGGGUCUCUUUGGCUACCUCCCCUGAUUGUGUUUCAGGUCCAAAUUUUCUUUCUGCCCCGCCUUGCUUGGUGGUAAGUGUUUUACUAAAAGUUAGCUAUGGCAGAAGAAUUACAAGAACUUCAGGAUCUUGUGGCCCAAUUAAGAGCUGAUAAUGAGAGACUUAGACAAG
Long non-coding RNA from Cyprinus carpio carpio, 1612 nucleotides. The record is from Ensembl. Lineage: Eukaryota; Metazoa; Chordata; Actinopteri; Cypriniformes; Cyprinidae.